Molecule: small nuclear RNA, 107 nt
Filed under: Myotis davidii
Lineage: Eukaryota; Metazoa; Chordata; Mammalia; Chiroptera; Vespertilionidae
Source: RNAcentral
GUGCUCGCUUCGACAGCACAUAUACUAAAAUUGAAAGGAUACAGAGAAAAUUAGCAUGGCCCCUGGGCAAGGAUGACACGCAAAUUUGUGAAGCGUUCCAUGUUUAA